This 492-nucleotide ribosomal RNA is filed under the name uncultured bacterium. RNAcentral describes it as "partial 16S ribosomal RNA". It matches the Rfam family "Bacterial small subunit ribosomal RNA", at positions 29 to 507 of the family's 1533-position model. The record is from RNAcentral.
AGUGAACGCUGGCGGUAGGCCUAACACAUGCAAGUCGAACGGCAGCACAGUAAGAGCUUGCUCUUACGGGUGGCGAGUGGCGGACGGGUGAGGAAUACAUCGGAAUCUACUUUUUCGUGGGGGAUAACGUAGGGAAACUUACGCUAAUACCGCAUACGACCUACGGGUGAAAGCAGGGGAUCUUCGCACCUUGCGCGAUUGAAUGAGCCGAUGUCGGAUUAGCUAGUUGGCGGGGUAAAGGCCCACCAAGGCGACGAUCCGUAGCUGGUCUGAGAGGAUGAUCGGCCACACUGGAACUGAGACACGGUCCAGACUCCUACGGGAGGCAGCAGUGGGGAAUAUUGGACAAUGGGCGCAAGCCUGAUCCAGCCAUACCGCGUGGGUGAAGAAGGCCUUCGGGUUGUAAAGCCCUUUUGUUGGGAAAGAAAAGCAGCAGGUUAAUACCCUGCUGUUCUGACGGUACCCAAAGAAUAAGCACCGGCUAACUUCGUG